UACAGAGGUCUCAAGCGUUGUUCGGAUUCAUUGGGCGUAAAGGGUGCGUAGGCGGCGCGGUAAGUCGGAUGUGAAAUCUCGGAGCUUAACUUCGAAACUGCAUUCGAUACUGCCGUGCUUGAGGACUGGAGAGGAGACUGGAAUUUACGGUGUAGCGGUGAAAUGCGUAGAUAUCGUAAGGAAGACCAGUGGCGAAGGCGGGUCUCUGGGCCUUACCUGACGCUCAGGUGCGAAAGCGUGGGGAGCAAACAGG
This 253-nucleotide ribosomal RNA is filed under the name uncultured bacterium. RNAcentral describes it as "partial 16S ribosomal RNA". It matches the Rfam family "Bacterial small subunit ribosomal RNA", at positions 524 to 776 of the family's 1533-position model. The record is from RNAcentral.